Molecule: transfer RNA, 68 nt
Filed under: Rhodnius pictipes
Lineage: Eukaryota; Metazoa; Arthropoda; Insecta; Hemiptera; Reduviidae
Description: tRNA-Val
Source: RNAcentral
AAGAUAUAGCUUUAAGUGAGCGUUAUUAUUUACAUUAAUAAUUAGGUUGUGCAAUUCAACAUGUCUUG